AAAAAAAUCGAAACUUAACUCUAAUUAGUUUUAUAUUUAUGAUCGCAACGAUUACAACUAUAAUUGGACUGUUUAAAGCUUCAGCCUUUCCUCAUUUUCACUCUCCAAUCAUAAAAAAUCACCAUCACAGUCUCUGCUGAAAAAAAUGAGCUCCAAUAAAUCACAGACAAAAUCUUUUUCAAUUAUCAAAACUAUCGAUUCACAUCUACAAGUACGAGUUUCACCUGAAGAUGGUAAGUAGUAAUAAGCAAAUGGAUUUCAAAAUGCUUACAACUUUUUUACGCUGUGAAGGCUGCCAUAAAUACCCAAACUUUCCUGGCCAAGAACCCCUCUUUAUACCUGGAAAUGUUUUCUUGCUCCAGAAGCGAGUGUGGAUGGGGCACUCGUGCAGCCCACUGAUCAUAAAUUUGAGCAUUCUUUAUUGACUAGGUUUGUUGAGUUACAAUAUCGCAAAAUGUUAAGCUUAUGAUUUUUUUUCUCUUUUCCAUAUGCAUAUAUGAUACACAUGAAAAUUAACUUGAUGGUUUUCAUUUAUGGCCUUGCCCCCAAUGAGCUGUGCUUAACCUGAAGACCCUGUCACUUCCUCUAGACGUCCAAGUGAGAGACACAGGACAAAAGGUCCAUUUGGAAAUGUAGAGGUGGUUGUUUCUUUACUUUAAAGCUAUGUUCCAUCUUAGACAUUGUCUUUUCGAUCACAUGUUGAUUCACUAGAGUCAAUUAACCUCAAAGAUUCAUCAAAUGGUAUAAAUAUUCCUUCAUUGACAUGGUAUUGUAAAGUGUAAACUUAUAAAUUUAGUUUCUCUCUAU
This is a long non-coding RNA of Mangifera indica (mango), 807 nucleotides long. RefSeq lists it as uncharacterized. The record is from RefSeq and is a predicted model, not a curated record. The transcript is spliced from 2 exons. NCBI's taxonomy places the organism in Eukaryota, Viridiplantae, Streptophyta, Magnoliopsida, Sapindales, Anacardiaceae.